Long non-coding RNA from Puma concolor (puma), 677 nucleotides. RefSeq lists it as uncharacterized. NCBI's taxonomy places the organism in Eukaryota, Metazoa, Chordata, Mammalia, Carnivora, Felidae. The record is from RefSeq and is a predicted model, not a curated record.
CACAGAACCAUGAAAAAACUAGCAUGCCCAGCCUAGUUCACUUAUGUCCAUAGGGAUCAUUAAAAUCUACUAAGGGAAGAUGUUCUUUUGCUAGCGCAGGAGAGGAACUUGUCCAGAGUCUCUUCCUUGAUCACUGUCUGCACAAGUUCUAUAUCAUGACCCCUAAUGGGGGCCAGGGGUCAGUAGCUGCUAGAAAGUGCAGCUCUUGUCUGGAGAAAACAUUUAACAGUUUCGCCUGGAGCUGACAGGGUCGUAUCUGGGGAGAGGCUCCCAAGCAGAGAUCCUGAGGCUGCCCGUGCACAGCAUAGAAUCUCCCCCAAAUACCCUCUGAUCACAGGACAAGCUGCCUCCCAGGCAUUCUAUCGAAUAGUGGAUUCACAAGGUUGAGUCAAUUAUGUGACACAGACAGCAAAGGACCUAUCCUGAAAUGUCCAUUUCUUUGUCUCCUGGAGUGCUUUUCACAACCUCUGAAGACCAGAGAAUCAGCUUCUGAAAGCCCAGCCUAGGGCCAACACAGAUGGUCCAUAAAUAUUUGCUAAAUAAAUAACCAAAUGAGUGAAUGAAUGAACCGAAGAAUAGAUUGGAAGCAUACAAAGCUCCUUUUGUGGUCUUCCACAUUUGCACUGGUACCUUUCAACUAUGCUUUUUAAAGAAUAAAUACAGAUGCAUUGAAGCGU